Molecule: ribosomal RNA, 154 nt
Filed under: Caloranaerobacter azorensis DSM 13643
Lineage: Bacteria; Bacillati; Bacillota; Tissierellia; Tissierellales; Thermohalobacteraceae
Description: 16S rRNA. Bacterial SSU
Rfam family: Bacterial small subunit ribosomal RNA
Source: RNAcentral
CUGGCUCAGGACGAACGCUGGCGGCGUGCCUAACACAUGCAAGUCGAGCGGGUAGGUGCUUUAAUGAACCUUCGGGGGAUUUAAAGUACUGAAAGCGGCGGACGGGUGAGUAACGCGUGGGGAACCUGCCCUAUGCAGGGGGAUAGCCUCGGGA